RNAcentral lists this ribosomal RNA (430 nucleotides) under Verrucomicrobiota bacterium. RNAcentral's name for it is "Verrucomicrobia bacterium partial 16S ribosomal RNA". It matches the Rfam family "Bacterial small subunit ribosomal RNA", at positions 355 to 776 of the family's 1533-position model. Lineage: Bacteria; Pseudomonadati; Verrucomicrobiota. The record is from RNAcentral.
UAGGGAAUCUUCGGCAAUGGGGGGAACCCUGACCGAGCAACGCCGCGUGAGUGAAGAAGGUUUUCGGAUCGUAAAGCUCUGUUGUUAAGGAAGAACGAGUGUGAGAAUGGAAAGUUCAUGCUGUGACGGUACUUAACCAGAAAGGGACGGCUAAAUACGUGCCAGCAGCCGCGGUAAUACGUAUGGAGCAAGCGUUAUCCGGAUUCAUUGGGCGUAAAGCGCUCGUAGGCGGUCUGUUAGGUCGGCAAGUUAAAUCCGGGGGCUCAACCCCCGUCCGCUUCCGAUACCGGCAGACUUGAGUUUGGUAGGGGAAGGUGGAAUUCCUAGUGUAGCGGUGGAAUGCGCAGAUAUUAGGAAGAACACCGGUGGCGAAGGCGGCCUUCUGGGCCAUAACUGACGCUGAGGAGCGAAAGCUAGGGGAGCGAACAGG